This 253-nucleotide ribosomal RNA is filed under the name uncultured bacterium. RNAcentral's name for it is "partial 16S ribosomal RNA". It matches the Rfam family "Bacterial small subunit ribosomal RNA", at positions 524 to 776 of the family's 1533-position model. The record is from RNAcentral.
UACAGAGGGUGCGAGCGUUAAUCGGAAUUACUGGGCGUAAAGCGCACGUAGGUGGCGACGUAAGUCGGGUGUGAAAGCCCCGGGCUCAACCUGGGAAUUGCAUUCGAGACUGCAUUGCUGGAGUACGGAAGAGAAAGGCGGAAUUCCCGGUGUAGCGGUGAAAUGCGUAGAUAUCAAGUGGAACACCAGUGGCGAAGGCGAAUCCCUGGAAAAUACCUGACACUGAGGCACGAAAGCUAGGGGAGCAAACAGG